Molecule: ribosomal RNA, 1372 nt
Filed under: uncultured bacterium
Lineage: Bacteria
Description: bacterial SSU rRNA
Rfam family: Bacterial small subunit ribosomal RNA
Source: RNAcentral
GAUGAACGCUGGCGGCGUGCCUAAUACAUGCAAGUCGAGCGAACGGACGAGAAGCUUGCUUCUCUGAUGUUAGCGGCGGACGGGUGAGUAACACGUGGAUAACCUACCUAUAAGACUGGGAUAACUUCGGGAAACCGAAGCUAAUACCGGAUAAUAUUUUGAACCGCAUGGUUCAAAAGUGAAAGACGGUCUUGCUGUCACUUAUAGAUGGAUCCGCGCUGCAUUAGCUAGUUGGUAAGGUAACGGCUUACCAAGGCAACGAUGCAUAGCCGACCUGAGAGGGUGAUCGGCCACACUGGAACUGAGACACGGUCCAGACUCCUACGGGAGGCAGCAGUAGGGAAUCUUCCGCAAUGGGCGAAAGCCUGACGGAGCAACGCCGCGUGAGUGAUGAAGGUCUUCGGAUCGUAAAACUCUGUUAUUAGGGAAGAACGUAUGUGUAAGUAACUGUGCACAUCUUGACGGUACCUAAUCAGAAAGCCACGGCUAACUACGUGCCAGCAGCCGCGGUAAUACGUAGGUGGCAAGCGUUAUCCGGAAUUAUUGGGCGUAAAGCGCGCGUAGGCGGUUUUUUAAGUCUGAUGUGAAAGCCCACGGCUCAACCGUGGAGGGUCAUUGGAAACUGGAAAACUUGAGUGCAGAAGAGGAAAGUGGAAUUCCAUGUGUAGCGGUGAAAUGCGCAGAGAUAUGGAGGAACACCAGUGGCGAAGGCGACUUUCUGGUCUGUAACUGACGCUGAUGUGCGAAAGCGUGGGGAUCAAACAGGAUUAGAUACCCUGGUAGUCCACGCCGUAAACGAUGAGUGCUAAGUGUUAGGGGGUUUCCGCCCCUUAGUGCUGCAGCUAACGCAUUAAGCACUCCGCCUGGGGAGUACGACCGCAAGGUUGAAACUCAAAGGAAUUGACGGGGACCCGCACAAGCGGUGGAGCAUGUGGUUUAAUUCGAAGCGACGCGAAGAACCUUACCAAAUCUUGACAUCCUUUGACAACUCUAGAGAUAGAGCUUUCCCCUUCGGGGGACAAAGUGACAGGUGGUGCAUGGUUGUCGUCAGCUCGUGUCGUGAGAUGUUGGGUUAAGUCCCGCAACGAGCGCAACCCUUAAGCUUAGUUGCCAUCAUUAAGUUGGGCACUCUAAGUUGACUGCCGGUGAUAAACCGGAGGAAGGUGGGGAUGACGUCAAAUCAUCAUGCCCCUUAUGAUUUGGGCUACACACGUGCUACAAUGGACAAUACAAAGGGCAGCGAAACCGCGAGGUCAAGCAAAUCCCAUAAAGUUGUUCUCAGUUCGGAUUGUAGUCUGCAACUCGACUACAUGAAGCUGGAAUCGCUAGUAAUCGUAGAUCAGCAUGCUACGGUGAAUACGUUCCCGGGUCU